Molecule: ribosomal RNA, 843 nt
Filed under: Salmonella enterica subsp. enterica serovar Potsdam
Lineage: Bacteria; Pseudomonadati; Pseudomonadota; Gammaproteobacteria; Enterobacterales; Enterobacteriaceae
Also listed under: 3 other names
Description: partial 23S ribosomal RNA
Rfam family: Bacterial large subunit ribosomal RNA
Source: RNAcentral
AGACCCGAAACCCGGUGAUCUAGCCAUGGGCAGGUUGAAGGUUGGGUAACACUAACUGGAGGACCGAACCGACUAAUGUUGAAAAAUUAGCGGAUGACCUGUGGCUGGGGGUGAAAGGCCAAUCAAACCGGGAGAUAGCUGGUUCUCCCCGAAAGCUAUUUAGGUAGCGCCUCGUGAAUUCAUCUCCGGGGGUAGAGCACUGUUUCGGCUAGGGGGCCAUCCCGGCUUACCAACCCGAUGCAAACUGCGAAUACCGGAGAAUGUUAUCACGGGAGACACACGGCGGGUGCUAACGUCCGUCGUGAAGAGGGAAACAACCCAGACCGCCAGCUAAGGUCCCAAAGUCAUGGUUAAGUGGGAAACGAUGUGGGAAGGCCCAGACAGCCAGGAUGUUGGCUUAGAAGCAGCCAUCAUUUAAAGAAAGCGUAAUAGCUCACUGGUCGAGUCGGCCUGCGCGGAAGAUGUAACGGGGCUAAACCAUGCACCGAAGCUGCGGCAGCGACACUCAGGUGUUGUUGGGUAGGGGAGCGUUCUGUAAGCCUGUGAAGGUGUGUCGUGAGGCAUGCUGGAGGUAUCAGAAGUGCGAAUGCUGACAUAAGUAACGAUAAAGCGGGUGAAAAGCCCGCUCGCCGGAAGACCAAGGGUUCCUGUCCAACGUUAAUCGGGGCAGGGUGAGUCGACCCCUAAGGCGAGGCCGAAAGGCGUAGUCGAUGGGAAACGGGUUAAUAUUCCCGUACUUGGUGUUACUGCGAAGGGGGGACGGAGAAGGCUAUGUUGGCCGGGCGACGGUUGUCCCGGUUUAAGCGUGUAGGCUGGUUUUCCAGGCAAAUCCGGAAAAUCAAG